UACGAAGGGGGCUAGCGUUGCUCGGAAUCACUGGGCGUAAAGGGUGCGUAGGCGGGUCUUUAAGUCAGGGGUGAAAUCCUGGAGCUCAACUCCAGAACUGCCUUUGAUACUGAAGAUCUUGAGUUCGGGAGAGGUGAGUGGAACUGCGAGUGUAGAGGUGAAAUUCGUAGAUAUUCGCAAGAACACCAGUGGCGAAGGCGGCUCACUUGCCCGAUACUGACGCUGAGGCACGAAAGCGUGGGGAGCAAACAGG
This 253-nucleotide ribosomal RNA is filed under the name uncultured bacterium. RNAcentral's name for it is "partial 16S ribosomal RNA". It matches the Rfam family "Bacterial small subunit ribosomal RNA", at positions 524 to 776 of the family's 1533-position model. The record is from RNAcentral.